This is a non-coding RNA of Penaeus vannamei (Pacific white shrimp), 245 nucleotides long. The record is from RefSeq and is a predicted model, not a curated record. Lineage: Eukaryota; Metazoa; Arthropoda; Malacostraca; Decapoda; Penaeidae.
UAUGUGGAGCUCCUAUUGGUCGAUGGGUUGACAGUAACUCAAGACUCAGAACGGCCCAAAUAAGUCUAAGUGUCCAGAAUCUUAUGGUUUGCGUCUGUGCAGCUCUCCUAGUAGUUAUUACAACGCAGCGGCAGUAUUUCACUGCUUGGGAUGGAUGGUCUCUGAUCCUAGCAGAGCAUGUCUAGCACAGAUUGGAACUUUAGGAUGUAAACUAGCCAUAGAGAAGGACUGGAUCAUAGUGAUAU